Molecule: microRNA, 19 nt
Filed under: Corchorus olitorius
Lineage: Eukaryota; Viridiplantae; Streptophyta; Magnoliopsida; Malvales; Malvaceae
Description: gga-miR-6626-
Source: RNAcentral
AGGAGAGAGAAGGUUUGUU